GUGUCAGCAGCCGCGGUAAUACGUAGGGUGCAAGCGUUAAUCGGAAUUACUGGGCGUAAAGCGUGCGCAGGCGGUUGUGUAAGUCUGAUGUGAAAGCCCCGGGCUCAACCUGGGAACGGCAUUGGAGACUGCACAGCUAGAGUGCGUCAGAGGGGGGUAGAAUUCCACGUGUAGCAGUGAAAUGCGUAGAGAUGUGGAGGAAUACCGAUGGCGAAGGCAGCCCCCUGGGAUGACACUGACGCUCAUGCACGAAAGCGUGGGGAGCAAACAGGAUUAGAUACCCCCGUAGUCC
RNAcentral lists this ribosomal RNA (292 nucleotides) under uncultured bacterium. RNAcentral's name for it is "partial 16S ribosomal RNA". It matches the Rfam family "Bacterial small subunit ribosomal RNA", at positions 505 to 796 of the family's 1533-position model. The record is from RNAcentral.